This 1569-nucleotide long non-coding RNA is filed under the name Homo sapiens (human). Its description in RNAcentral is "non-protein coding lnc-PCED1B-5:28". Lineage: Eukaryota; Metazoa; Chordata; Mammalia; Primates; Hominidae. The record is from RNAcentral.
UUGACUUUUGCUGAUGGAGCCUCUCUGAAGGGCAAAUUCAAAGUACAGCUGGGUGCUGCAGCACUGGAGUGCGAACUUGUGGCUGUGGUUAUGAAGGAGCCUCGUCAGCUAUGCCUUUAGCCCCUGGUGAAGCAGUGCCAGUCACACUUUGCCAGUCAAACGGAGAGGCAGCAGUAGUAAGACCAGACCAAAUCAAACCAAACCAAGCAAACCACGGGGAAUGGAGGACCUGAUGAUUGAUUUAGCAUCUUUGGCAUCCGGCCACUGCUCUGCUUGGCCAUACUGCUGCCUUCACCCUCAGCUGUUGCAACUCUUUUGGCCACUUUGUGUAACUGCCCUGCCAAGCCCUGCUUCCUGGCUGUCCAAAGAAAGAAGUGUUUCCUACAGGAGAUCACAACAAAAGGAUGAAAUCUGGGGUGCAGGGGAAGGGUAGCUUCUGAAGCUGGAAAAUAAAGAAGUAAGGAAGGGAGACUGUGGAAUUUACCAGGGAGGGAAACUAAUAUUUCCUUUCAUAUAAGUUGGUACUAUUCUGGCUUUUUACCAUGAUCAUAUAUUAUAUUCAAAAUAAAGCUCUUGUUUUUGAAACAAAAAAAUAUAAACAAAGGAAGGAAGGAUGUUCAUUUAUUUAGAUAAUAGAUACCUAGUGAACCCCUAGUAGACCUUGUACUGGGUCCUGGGGACACUGGUGACCAGGUUCCAUUCCUGAUCUCCUGGAGCAGGGGACACGAAAAGACAUUAAGCAAAUAAUUACACAUCUUUUUACAUCAGUACAAAUGUUGGGACUUUGCAAGAGUUCCACCCUGAAAGCUUCUGUUUUCACUGAAAGAGAGGAGGCAAGGUCAUUUGUUCAUAAAAGCAAUGGAAUUGAGUAGGGGACUUGAAAGAAAUGAUGAGGCUAGGAAAAGCAGCUAUAGGAAAGGGGGCACCAGUCAGACUAAGAAUAUGUAACCAGAGCACAGCUGUGCAUACUUUGCUUGAAUGUCUCCAAGUUCAAAUCCAAGAACUUGAUAUUUUAGGUUGAUUCUAUGUGUAACCUAUUUGUUUUUAAAGAGUAGAGUCUUUUUCUUCCAGCAUGUGUUAGUUAGCCCUGUCUUUAUCACAUCACCACCACCAAUUGUCAUUUGCAGAAGUAUCUUCAACUCAUCAUAAAUUUACUAGUAAUAGCUAACUCAUGUCUAUAGAACUGUUAAGUGACAAGAUAAUAUUUAGAUUAAAAGCUAUAGUUGCAUUCUUAUUAGAGACUUAAUCAGAUUUUAACAUGCUCCUCACAGGGGCCAUUUAGCCCUAUUCUGCUGGGCUUUGGCAAGCACUGAAUGAUUGCCCUCCUAGGGCAGAGGUACUGCAGCCCUGGUUAAGCAUUGAAAAGAUGAUAUUACCAAUAAGUUGACUCUAAUUGUAAACAACAUAUUUAAACAAUUACAUCUUAAUUAAAUUCUUAUAAAUUAUAAGUGCCUCAGAACUUUCUUUCUUAAUCUCAAAUGCAUGUUUCUUAAAAUCAUUCACUAUUUUAUGAGAAUAUAUUUGCUGAAUAUUAGAAAAAAGAGUUAAAAAUAAAAGGCAUUUCUAAAA